AGGGAGGCAAAGCCGCGAGGCAGAGNGAACCCCUAAAAGGCGUCCCAGUUCGGAUCGCAGGCUGCAACCCGCCUGCGUGAAGUCGGAAUCGCUAGUAAUCGCGGAUCAGAAUGCCGCGGUGAAUACGUUCCCGGGCCUUGUACACACCGCCCGUCACACCAUGAGAGUCGGGAACACCCGAAGUCCGUAGUCUAACUAGCAAUAGAGGGCGCGGCCGAAGGUGGGUUCGAUAAUUGGGGUGAAGUCGUAACAAGGUAGC
RNAcentral lists this ribosomal RNA (259 nucleotides) under uncultured bacterium. Its description in RNAcentral is "partial 16S ribosomal RNA". It matches the Rfam family "Bacterial small subunit ribosomal RNA", at positions 1243 to 1500 of the family's 1533-position model. The record is from RNAcentral.